This is a long non-coding RNA of Brienomyrus brachyistius, 760 nucleotides long. RefSeq lists it as uncharacterized. NCBI's taxonomy places the organism in Eukaryota, Metazoa, Chordata, Actinopteri, Osteoglossiformes, Mormyridae. The transcript has 3 exons. The record is from RefSeq and is a predicted model, not a curated record.
CGGGGGCGGCCGGGGUAUUAGCAGCAGGCUAAGCGCCUGUCAUGUCACCGUCAGGAUUACGCCCCAAGACAACUGGGAAGACAGAAAUAAGCCUUGCGGAGAAUUAAUGCUCUUUUGACGAAGUGGAGGAGGAACUUGAGUGGGACCUCUUAGGAAUCACCAGCCCCUGUGAACCCCUUUGGAGAAACACCCUGAUGUCCACCCCAUCAGAGAUCCUGGCCAGGACCCCGUCUCUUAGUCUCUUACAGAGGGACAGGCCAUUUACUCCGGGGGUGGGUCCUGCCCACCCUGCCCCCAGGAGCUGUUGUCCUGCCAUGCCCAGAGGCCCAUCGUGUCCCCUGUUUGGUCCCUUCGGCCCCUAAGUGAGUUUCUCUGAGUGUUUCCCCAGUCUGGUCAUUAACCCUCUGAGGUCCAGGGGCAGGAAACACACUUUCACUGACUGAGGCAUGAUCACGCAUUUCUUCAAAUAUCAUAAAGUUAAUUCAUGGCAAAUAAAUUAUUUCUUAUAUAUUUGUUUUGCCAUUACACUCAUAUUUAUUUUAAUGUAUAUUGUAAAUAUGUCCGAUUUAUCUGAAAUUUGUAAUUUGACAUCAAAGUAUAGACAAUGCAAAAUGCAGUUUGGAACACUUGCAGAAACAUCAUAAAAGUAGAUAGUAAGCAAUGGUGGCAGUUUGUUUUGAUCCCAGAUGUCUGAUCACCAAAUUAUUGGCUACAUGAAGAUGACUAAAUGGUGUAGUGGCAACAUUCAUUUGGAAAAAUA